GACGAACGCUGGCGGCGUGCUUAACACAUGCAAGUCGAACGGUGAAGCGCCUUCCUUUUUGGUGGGUGUGGAUGAGUGGCGAACGGGUGAGUAACACGUGAGUAACCUGCCCCCUUCUUCUGGAUAACCGCAUGAAAGUGUGGCUAAUACGGGAUAUUCUGGGUCUGUCGCAUGAUGGGUCUGGGAAGGUAUUGUUUCGGUGGGGGAUGGGCUCGCGGCCUAUCAGCUUGUUGGUGGGGUGAUGGCCUACCAAGGCGGUGACGGGUAGCCGGCCUGAGAGGGUGGACGGUCACACUGGGACUGAGACACGGCCCAGACUCCUACGGGAGGCAGCAGUGGGGAAUAGUGCACAAUGGGCGCAAGCCUGAUGCAGCGACGCCGCGUGAGGGAUGGAGGCCUUCGGGUUGUGAACCUCUUUCGCCAGUGAAGCAGGCCUGCCUCGUUUGUGGGUGGGUUGACGGUAGCUGGAUAAGAAGCGCCGGCUAACUACGUG
Molecule: ribosomal RNA, 493 nt
Filed under: uncultured bacterium
Lineage: Bacteria
Description: partial 16S ribosomal RNA
Rfam family: Bacterial small subunit ribosomal RNA
Source: RNAcentral